GAUGAACGCUGGCGGCGUGCCUAAUACAUGCCAGUCGAGCGAACAGAUAAGGAGCUUGCUCCUCUGACGUUAGCGGCGGACGGGUGAGUAACACGUGGAUAACCUACCUAUAAGACUGGGAUAACUUCGGGAAACCGGAGCUAAUACCGGAUAAUAUAUUGAACCGCAUGGUUCAAUAGUGAAAGACGGUUUUGCUGUCACUUAUAGAUGGAUCCGCGCCGCAUUAGCUAGUUGGUAAGGUAACGGCUUACCAAGGCAACGAUGCGUAGCCGACCUGAGAGGGUGAUCGGCCACACUGGAACUGAGACACGGUCCAGACUCCUACGGGAGGCAGCAGUAGGGAAUCUUCCGCAAUGGGCGAAAGCCUGGCGGAGCAACGCCGCGUGAGUGAUGAAGGUCUUCGGAUCGUAAAACUCUGUUAUUAGGGAAGAACAAAUGUGUAAGUAACUAUGCACGUCUUGACGGUACCUAAUCAGAAAGCCACGGCUAACUACGUG
This 497-nucleotide ribosomal RNA is filed under the name uncultured bacterium. Its description in RNAcentral is "partial 16S ribosomal RNA". It matches the Rfam family "Bacterial small subunit ribosomal RNA", at positions 28 to 507 of the family's 1533-position model. The record is from RNAcentral.